CCACACUGGUACUGAGACACGGACCAGACUCCUACGGGAGGCAGCAGUGGGGAAUAUUGGACAAUGGGCGCAAGCCUGAUCCAGCCAUACCGCGUGGGUGAAGAAGGCCUUCGGGUUGUAAAGCCCUUUUGUUGGGAAAGAAAUCCAGCUGGCUAAUACCUGGUUGGGAUGACGGUACCCAAAGAAUAAGCACCGGCUAACUUCGUGCCAGCAGCCGCGGUAAUACGAAGGGUGCAAGCGUUACUCGGAAUUACUGGGCGUAAAGCGUGCGUAGGUGGUCGUUUAAGUCCGUUGUGAAAGCCCUGGGCUCAACCUGGGAACUGCAGUGGAUACUGGGCGACUAGAGUGUGGUAGAGGGUAGCGGAAUUCCUGGUGUAGCAGUGAAAUGCGUAGAGAUCAGGAGGAACAUCCAUGGCGAAGGCAGCUACCUGGACCAACACUGACACUGAGGCACGAAAGCGUGGGGAGCAAACAGGAUUAGAUACCCUGGUAGUCCACGCCCUAAACGAUGCGAACUGGAUGUUGGGUGCAAUUUGGCACGCAGUAUCGAAGCUAACGCGUUAAGUUCGCCGCCUGGGGAGUACGGUCGCAAGACUGAAACUCAAAGGAAUUGACGGGGGCCCGCACAAGCGGUGGAGUAUGUGGUUUAAUUCGAUGCAACGCGAAGAACCUUACCUGGCCUUGACAUGUCGAGAACUUUCCAGAGAUGGAUUGGUGCCUUCGGGAACCCGAACACAGGUGCUGCAUGGUUGUCGUCAGCUCGU
Molecule: ribosomal RNA, 764 nt
Filed under: uncultured bacterium
Lineage: Bacteria
Description: bacterial SSU rRNA
Rfam family: Bacterial small subunit ribosomal RNA
Source: RNAcentral